CGCGGGGUGGAGCAGUUGGCAGCUCGUCGGGCUCAUAACCCGAAGGUCGUAGGUUCAAGUCCUAUCCCCGCAACCA
RNAcentral lists this transfer RNA (76 nucleotides) under Clostridium botulinum. RNAcentral's name for it is "tRNA-Met". It matches the Rfam family "tRNA". From Rfam's summary of the family: Transfer RNA (tRNA) molecules are approximately 80 nucleotides in length. Their secondary structure includes four short double-helical elements and three loops (D, anti-codon, and T loops). Further hydrogen bonds mediate the characteristic L-shaped molecular structure. tRNAs have two regions of fundamental functional importance: the anti-codon, which is responsible for specific mRNA codon recognition, and the 3' end, to which the tRNAs corresponding amino acid is attached (by aminoacyl-tRNA synthetases). tRNAs cope with the degeneracy of the genetic code in two manners: having more than one tRNA (with a specific anti-codon) for a particular amino acid; and 'wobble' base-pairing, i.e. permitting non-standard base-pairing at the 3rd anti-codon position. Lineage: Bacteria; Bacillati; Bacillota; Clostridia; Eubacteriales; Clostridiaceae. RNAcentral also lists the same sequence under 6 other names. The record is from RNAcentral.